RNAcentral lists this ribosomal RNA (753 nucleotides) under uncultured Comamonadaceae bacterium. RNAcentral's name for it is "bacterial SSU rRNA". It matches the Rfam family "Bacterial small subunit ribosomal RNA", at positions 28 to 776 of the family's 1533-position model. The record is from RNAcentral. Lineage: Bacteria; Pseudomonadati; Pseudomonadota; Betaproteobacteria; Burkholderiales; Comamonadaceae.
AUUGAACGCUGGCGGCAUGCCUUACACAUGCAAGUCGAACGGCAGCACGGGAGCAAUCGUGGUGGCGAGUGGCGAACGGGUGAGUAAUACAUCGGAACGUGCCCAAUCGUGGGGGAUAACGCAGCGAAAGCUGUGCUAAUACCGCAUACGAUCUACGGAUGAAAGCAGGGGAUCGCAAGACCUUGCGCGAAUGGAGCGGCCGAUGGCAGAUUAGGUAGUUGGUGAGGUAAAGGCUCACCAAGCCGUCGAUCUGUAGCUGGUCUGAGAGGACGACCAGCCACACUGGGACUGAGACACGGCCCAGACUCCUACGGGAGGCAGCAGUGGGGAAUUUUGGACAAUGGACGAAAGCCUGAUCCAGCCAUGCCGCGUGCAGGAUGAAGGCCUUCGGGUUGUAAACUGCUUUUGUACGGAACGAAACGGCCUUUUCUAAUAAAGAGGGCUAAUGACGGUACCGUAAGAAUAAGCACCGGCUAACUACGUGCCAGCAGCCGCGGUAAUACGUAGGGUGCAAGCGUUAAUCGGAAUUACUGGGCGUAAAGCGUGCGCAGGCGGUUAUGUAAGACAGUUGUGAAAUCCCCGGGCUCAACCUGGGAACUGCAUCUGUGACUGCAUAGCUAGAGUACGGUAGAGGGGGAUGGAAUUCCGCGUGUAGCAGUGAAAUGCGUAGAUAUGCGGAGGAACACCGAUGGCGAAGGCAAUCCCCUGGACCUGUACUGACGCUCAUGCACGAAAGCGUGGGGAGCAAACAGG